Molecule: small nucleolar RNA, 104 nt
Filed under: Gorilla gorilla gorilla (western lowland gorilla)
Lineage: Eukaryota; Metazoa; Chordata; Mammalia; Primates; Hominidae
Description: Small nucleolar RNA U13
Rfam family: Small nucleolar RNA U13
Source: Rfam by way of RNAcentral
AUCCUUUUGCAGUUUUUAAGUGUCAUGAUGGGGCGUCCAUGCACGUGUGUAAGAUGUGCCACUCUUGAAGCUUGUUACAACGUGGGCAGAUUACCAAUCUCACA